Molecule: long non-coding RNA, 685 nt
Filed under: Notechis scutatus (mainland tiger snake)
Lineage: Eukaryota; Metazoa; Chordata; Lepidosauria; Squamata; Elapidae
Description: lncRNA (ENSNSUG00000001735.1)
Source: RNAcentral
GCAAGAGAAUCCUUAUGUCAGUUGUGUAUAAAAAUUUGAAUAUAAUUCAGCCUUUUCUUCGUGAGUAAAAGCAGGAGAAUUUUUUUUCUCAAAGGCAAGGAUUAAAGAAUGCAUAAACCCAGACAAAGAAUUUCACUGUACUUUAAUCUGAAAACAGCCCUGCUUAUACAAUGAUAUGUCCUUAUCCUCCUCCCCCAGAUUAAAUCCAGGAUUAUCAUGAAGUAUGACAUGUGCAUGUUAUGAAAUAGCAUUACUCUGUCUAACUUCUGUGUGUUGAUGUGUAAAAGAGAGAUUACCUUUCUCACUUCUUAUCCCAGCAGGUGACCUGUAUCAUCAGAACAGAACCAGCAGGGUUGUCUAUUCAAUAUGCCUGCAGUGGCCUGUAAAAAUCUCUGGAUUCAGUGCUUUAGUCUACAAAAAGCUUGCAGAAACAGAGCCCUGUGAUCUGUAUUGCUUUGAGGUGUCAAGAGUAUGAAAAAAGAAAAGGAAAGAAAAAGAAAAAGCAUAAGCUUCUGCAAUCAACAUUUGUUUGCAGUUGGAGAGGAUGCUGAGCAAGUGAUAAAGAAAGUAUCAACCUUGUUUCAAACACUUGAAAAAGGAUGGACUUAAUUCUUUCCCUGAGAACUAAAAAAAACAUAGUAACUAUAUACCAGUGGCUGUUUGAAGAUUUUCCACCAAGCAAAAC